RNAcentral lists this transfer RNA (66 nucleotides) under Eiseniella tetraedra. RNAcentral describes it as "tRNA-Leu". The record is from RNAcentral. Lineage: Eukaryota; Metazoa; Annelida; Clitellata; Crassiclitellata; Lumbricidae.
UAGUGAGUUGGCAGAAUAGUGCCACUGAUUUAGGCUCAGUUCAUGGGCAAUGCCCACUUACUAAGU